Molecule: ribosomal RNA, 173 nt
Filed under: uncultured bacterium
Lineage: Bacteria
Description: partial 16S ribosomal RNA
Rfam family: Bacterial small subunit ribosomal RNA
Source: RNAcentral
ACGAAGCUGGAUUCGCUAGUAAUCGCGCAUCAGCCACGGCGCGGUGAAUACGUUCCCGGGCCUUGUACACACCGCCCGUCAAGCCAUGGGAGCCGGGGGUACCUGAAGUGCGUAACCGCGAGGAUCGCCCUAGGGUAAAACUGGUGACUGGGGCUAAGUCGUAACAAGGUAUC